GGCAGUAUGGCCGAGUGGUUAAGGCGGUAGACUGUGCGUUAACCAAUUAGAAUCUGCAAAACCUCUUAGCUAAUUGCUUUCACUAGUGAAUCCUCAAUCAGGAAGUUAUCUACUCCCCUAGGGGACCUGCGUUCGAACCGCAGUGCUGUCG
Non-coding RNA from Aspergillus versicolor CBS 583.65, 151 nucleotides. The record is from Rfam. NCBI's taxonomy places the organism in Eukaryota, Fungi, Ascomycota, Eurotiomycetes, Eurotiales, Aspergillaceae.